GUUAGGAAUAUUCGUCAAUGGGGGAAACCCUGAACGAGCAAUGCCGCGUGAGUGAUGACGGUCCUCUGGAUUGUAAAACUCUGUUGUUUAGGAAAAAUUGUAUAAACAGGAAAUGGUUUAUGCUUGAUGGUACUAUUCAAGAAAGCCACGGCUAACUACGUGCCAGCAGCCGCGGUAAUACGUAGGUGGCGAGCGUUAUCCGGAUUUAUUGGGCGUAAAGCGUCCGCAGACGGCUUGUUAAGUCUAGAAUCAAAGCCCGGAGCUUAACUUCGGUUCGUUCUAGAAACUGGCAGGCUUGAGUAUAGUAGAGGCAAGUGGAAUUUCUAGUGUAGCGGUAGAAUGCGUAGAUAUUAGAAGGAACACCAGUGGCGAAGGCGACUUGCUGGGCUAUUACUGACGUUCAUGGACGAAAGCGUGGGGAGCAAAUAGG
RNAcentral lists this ribosomal RNA (430 nucleotides) under uncultured bacterium. Its description in RNAcentral is "bacterial SSU rRNA". It matches the Rfam family "Bacterial small subunit ribosomal RNA", at positions 354 to 776 of the family's 1533-position model. The record is from RNAcentral.